UGCGGAAGGAUCAUUGUCGAAACCUGCAAGGCAGACCGCGAACACGUGUUUAACCGUGUCGGGGCCGUGGCGUGGGGGCGCGUUCCCCCCGCCGCGGUCCCCGCUCCCCGCCGGUGCUUGCGCUGUGCGGGCUAACGAACCCCGGCGCGGAACGCGCCAAGGAAAACCAAAACGAAGCGCCCUCCCCCGUCCCGUGCCCCGUCCGCGGUGUGCACGAAAGGGGGGAAGGCCGCGCCUCACUUAUGUCAAAACGACUCUCGGCAACGGAUAUCUCGGCUCUCGCAUCGAUGAAGAACGUAGCGAAAUGCGAUACUUGGUGUGAAUUGCAGAAUCCCGUGAACCAUCGAGUUUUUGAACGCAAGUUGCGCCCGAAGCCUUCGGGCCGAGGGCACGCCUGCCUGGGCGUCACGCAUCGCGUCACCCCCCCUCCCCCUCUCCGACGGAGCGGGCGGGGCGGGGGUGGAGAAUGGCCUCCCGUGCGCCCCAUCGCACGGCCGGCCCAAAUGCNAUCCCCCGGCGACGCCAGUNNNNACCAGUGGUGGUUGAAUCCUCAACUCGCGUGCUGUCNGUCGUGCAGACCGGCGUCGUCCAGACGGGCAUCCCCAACGACCCAAUUGGCCCUUCGACGCUUCCAACCGCGACCCCAGGUCAGGCGGUAUUACCC
Molecule: ribosomal RNA, 664 nt
Filed under: Brachystephanus mannii
Lineage: Eukaryota; Viridiplantae; Streptophyta; Magnoliopsida; Lamiales; Acanthaceae
Description: eukaryotic LSU rRNA
Rfam family: 5.8S ribosomal RNA (bases 253-408)
Source: RNAcentral